RNAcentral lists this long non-coding RNA (839 nucleotides) under Monodelphis domestica (gray short-tailed opossum). RNAcentral's name for it is "lncRNA (ENSMODG00000033984.2)". The record is from RNAcentral. Lineage: Eukaryota; Metazoa; Chordata; Mammalia; Didelphimorphia; Didelphidae.
CAUCAGCCCAUUUUCCAGAUUAGAAACCGGAGGCCAGUAUCUAGUUGUUAGUGAACAAAUGUGGGGUGCUUCUGGAUCUGAUGUUGGUGAUAUUUCUAUUUUGCUUCCCUUCAGUUUAGCAUGUGGCUCUCUAGAACUUGGCAACCAUGUAAUCUUCCUAUCUGGAGCAGCACCGACCCGUUUUCCUGAUGAGAAACUGUGUUUAGGAUGUGACUCUCUAGAACAUGGCAACCAUGUAAUCUUCCUAACUGGAGCAGCACCGACCCGUUUUCCUGAUGAGAAACUGUGUUUAGGAUGUGACUCUCUAGAACAUGGCAACCAUGUAAUCUUCCUAUCUGGAGCAGCACCGACCCAUUUUCCUGAUGAGAAACUGUGUUUAGCAUGUGGCUCUCUAGAACUUGGCAACCAUGUAAUCUUCCUAUCUGGAGCAGCACCGAACAAUUUUCCUGAAGAGAAACUGUGUUUAGCAUGUGGCUCUCUAGAACUUGGCAACCAUGUAAUCUUCCUAUCUGGAGCAGCACAGACCCGUUUUCCUGAUGAGAAACUGUGUUUAGGAUGUGGCUCUCUAGAACUUGGCAACCAUGUAAUCUUCCAAUCUGGAGCAGCACCGACCCAUUUUCCUGAUGAGAAACUGUGUUUAGCAUGUGGCUCUCUAGAACUUGGCAACCAUGUAAUCUUCCUAUCUGGAGCAGCACCGAACAAUUUUCCUGAAUAGAAACUGUGUUUAGCAUGUGGCUCUCUAGAACUUGGCAACCAUGUAAUCUUCCUAUCUGGAGCAGCACAGACCCGUUUUCCUGAUGAGAAACUGUGGUGAGUAUCAUUUAUAUCGCGAACAACAG